RNAcentral lists this ribosomal RNA (428 nucleotides) under uncultured Actinomycetales bacterium. RNAcentral describes it as "bacterial SSU rRNA". It matches the Rfam family "Bacterial small subunit ribosomal RNA", at positions 355 to 794 of the family's 1533-position model. Lineage: Bacteria; Bacillati; Actinomycetota; Actinomycetes; Actinomycetales. The record is from RNAcentral.
UGGGGAAUAUUGCACAAUGGACGCAAGUCUGAUGCAGCGACGCCGCGUGGGGGAUGAAGGCUUUCGGGUUGUAAACUCCUUUCAGUACAGAAGAAGCGAUGAGUGACGGUAUGUGCAGAAGAAGCGCCGGCUAACUACGUGCCAGCAGCCGCGGUAAUACGUAGGGCGCGAGCGUUGUCCGGAAUUAUUGGGCGUAAAGAGCUCGUAGGCGGUUUGUUGCGCCUGCUGUGAAAGUCCGGGGCUUAACUUCGGGGUUGCAGUGGGUACGGGCAGACUAGAGUGUGGUAGGGGUAAUUGGAAUUCCUGGUGUAGCGGUGGAAUGCGCAGAUAUCAGGAGGAACACCGAUGGCGAAGGCAGGUUACUGGGCCACCACUGACGCUGAGGAGCGAAAGCGUGGGUAGCGAACAGGAUUAGAUACCCUGGUAGU